GCAACAGUGGUUCAAUGGUAGAAUUCUAGUCUUCCAUGUGGGAGACCCAGGUUCAAUUCCCGGCCAGUGCA
RNAcentral lists this transfer RNA (71 nucleotides) under Loxodonta africana (African savanna elephant). It matches the Rfam family "tRNA". From Rfam's summary of the family: Transfer RNA (tRNA) molecules are approximately 80 nucleotides in length. The record is from Rfam by way of RNAcentral. Lineage: Eukaryota; Metazoa; Chordata; Mammalia; Proboscidea; Elephantidae.